Molecule: ribosomal RNA, 284 nt
Filed under: uncultured bacterium
Lineage: Bacteria
Description: partial 16S ribosomal RNA
Rfam family: Bacterial small subunit ribosomal RNA
Source: RNAcentral
UUGUCCUACGGGACGCAGCAGUGAGGAAUAUUGGUCAAUGGUCGGGAGACUGAACCAGCCAAGCCGCGUGAGGGAUGAAGGUACAGAGUAUCGUAAACCUCUUUUGUCAGGGAACAAAGGCGGGGACGCGUCCCCGGAUGAGUGUACCUGAAGAAAAAGCAUCGGCUAACUCCGGUCCAGCAGCCGCGGUAAUACGGAGGAUGCGGUCGUUAUCCGGAUUUAUUGGGUUUAAAGGGUGCGCAGGCGGUCUGUUAAGUCAGCGGCCAAAGCCCGGGGCUCAACCC